ACUUCUAACCCCUGCGAGUCAAUCGUACAGUUUGAGCAGGCGCUGAAUAACGCCACUGAAAAAAUCGCACAGCGUAUGCCCAAGGCUCCGCCGAUGCUGAUGGAAAUGGACAAAACGUUAAGAAACGCAAAGCCAGAGGAACAGACUAACACACACUAAUGCUGUUUUUGACCUCUAUUUAUGCCCUCAGUAGGCGUGACCUUACGGCCGCACUUCAAAGCACGGCCGCACUUCAAAGCACUCAGCCUUUUGACGCGUCACCUAAUCUUCGUUCUAAUGGCGCAACUCCUCCCAGUCAUUCAUAAUCCGACCUCCGCGUUUGCACUCGCUGCCUACAAGAGCUCCCAAAUGUGAACAUCACUGAUGUUCAUCGGAUUUGCAGAGUGACGACAACCCCCGCCAGCAUGUUAGAUAAAGGAUUUAAGUUAUAUGCUGCAUCACACAACUACGAAGUGUCCAAAAAACACAGGUUGACAGGGGAGGUCGGUGUGAGAGCCCUGUGCUACAGGUCAAUGAGGAAGAGUGAGGCACCACCACACAGACUAAGUAUUAAGCUUCUGGAUUCAUCGCCGGUGGUACUGACACAUAGCCAGUGCUCCUGUGUGGCAGGUGCUGUUAUGUGCAAUCACACAGUGGCACUGCUCUUCCAAACAGCACACUACUCACAACUCAGAGUGCCGGUUAUCCCCCUGUGCAUAGCUGCACCGAAUCUGAACAGCAAUGGCACAAGCCACGGACAGUGGGUGUGAAGCCAGGACCUAUCAACUCUAUGAUCUUCACUAAGCCGGUACCAAAUAGGAUGGCCCAGACUGGAGCACGGAGUGGAUUCUACAGAGGCACUGUGGGUCCAUUACCAGAUCCCUGACCUGACAAGCCCCUUGUGGAAAGUGCCUUUGGGCUGGUGAAGGAGGGCAGUGUUCUGCCAUGUCAGCAGCCGGUUUUGACAACCCGGUACAUCACACUACACCGUGAUGCACCACCAACACCGCACUUGCCUCUGGAGGGGUAUGACAUCAAGGAAACCCUGCUCGCUCAGACAGCCUGUGAUAUUUUCUCAAACCGCUGCGCUGAACAAGUUUCCAAAGAACAUGCUGUGUGACACAAUAAAUAUCCUUUAACCUGUUAACCUGUGGCUUCUGGAAGAAACUCGGGUGAGUCAGUCACUGCAAACACAUUUGUAUCAUCAAGUGUUUGUCAAAUGAAAAUGAUACGUUUUUCUACACUUAGGAUAAUUUUCUAUGUUGCAGUGCAGUAAAGUGCACGUUUCUUCUGUGUUCAAUCAUACAUGUUCUAAUUGUUAUAAACAGAAAAAAUCUUUUCUUACUUAACUGCUUGAUUCUUAACUUGUUUAACUGAAACAUGAUGAAAUGUCAUAGUAUUAUUUUUUUAAAUGUCCUUGGCAGUGCAUGUGUCCGCAUUGUAACUUACUAAUAAAAAGUCCUGUGUGUA
Molecule: long non-coding RNA, 1449 nt
Organism: Oreochromis aureus
Lineage: Eukaryota; Metazoa; Chordata; Actinopteri; Cichliformes; Cichlidae
Exons: 5
Source: RefSeq, a predicted model, not a curated record